UACGGGGGGGGCAAGCGUUGUUCGGAUUUACUGGGCGUAAAGGGCGCGUAGGCGGCGUGACAAGUCACUUGUGAAAUCUCCGGGCUUAACCCGGAGCGGUCAAGUGAUACUGUCGUGCUAGAGUGCGGAAGGGGCUACUGGAAUUCUCGGUGUAGCGGUGAAAUGCGUAGAUAUCGAGAGGAACACCUGCGGCGAAGGCGGGUAGCUGGGCCGACACUGACGCUGAUGCGCGAAAGCCAGGGGAGCGAACGGG
RNAcentral lists this ribosomal RNA (253 nucleotides) under uncultured bacterium. RNAcentral describes it as "partial 16S ribosomal RNA". It matches the Rfam family "Bacterial small subunit ribosomal RNA", at positions 524 to 776 of the family's 1533-position model. The record is from RNAcentral.